AUGUCGCCGUCUCACUGCCAUCGGCUGCUGGCGGUGGCCCUGGUCUGCGUACUGCUCCUGUGGCGGCCGGCCGCAGCGGCUGAGUACCCGGUCGGCGACGGCAUCAACGGCUGGGACACCGGCACCAACUACGCCUCAUGGGCGCAGAGCCGCUCCUUCGUCCCCGGCGACGUCCUAGUGUUCGAGUACGUCAAGCGCCAGCACAACGUGUACCAGGUGACGGAGGCCGCUUACCGGACGUGCGACCCCUCCGCCACCGGCUCCGUGCUGGCCACCUACGACACCGGCUUCGACAAGGUUCCUCUCCCCGAGGCCAAGAGCUACUGGUUCAUCUGCGAGAUCUCCGGUCACUGCAUGGGCGGUAUGAAGCUCGCCGUCAACGUCUCUGCGGGCUCUCCCGGAGGCGGUGCACCAGCGCCCGACGCGCCGCCCUCGCCGUCAGCCGGAGCCACGUACCGGAGCAGCUGGGUGGCCUCCGCCGCCGGCUUGGUGGUGCUAGGCGCACUGCACGUCUUGGUCAACUGA
This 525-nucleotide ribosomal RNA is filed under the name Triticum aestivum (bread wheat). RNAcentral describes it as "partial small subunit ribosomal RNA". Lineage: Eukaryota; Viridiplantae; Streptophyta; Magnoliopsida; Poales; Poaceae. The record is from RNAcentral.